Molecule: long non-coding RNA, 573 nt
Filed under: Phaseolus vulgaris (common bean)
Lineage: Eukaryota; Viridiplantae; Streptophyta; Magnoliopsida; Fabales; Fabaceae
Description: long non-coding RNA (PVUL_LNC004091)
Source: RNAcentral
AUCGACGUUGUUGCACGGAAAGUACGAGCUGGGGAGGGUGUUGGGGCAUGGAACGUUCGCGAAGGUGUACCACGCGCGGAACCUGAAGACGGGGCAGCACGUGGCGAUGAAGGUGGUGGGGAAGGAGAAGGUGAUAAAAGUGGGGAUGAUGGAGCAGGUAAAGAGGGAGAUCUCGGUUAUGAAGAUGGUGAAGCACUCAAACAUCGUGGAACUCCACGAAGUCAUGGCCAGCAAGUCCAAGAUCUACAUCGCCAUGGAGCUCGUGCGCGGCGGAGAGCUCUUCAACAAGGUCUCCAAAGGUCGGUUGAAGGAGGACGUCGCCAGACUCUACUUCCAGCAGCUGAUUUCCGCCGUCGACUUCUGCCACAGCCGCGGCGUCUACCACCGCGACCUCAAGCCGGAGAACCUCCUCCUCGACGAACACGGCAAGCUCAAGGUCUCCGACUUCGGACUCACCGCCUUCGCCGACCACCUCAAAGAGGAUGGGCUGCUGCACACCACGUGCGGCACGCCCGCGUACGUGUCGCCGGAGGUCAUAGCGAAAAAAGGGUAUGACGGUGCCAAGGCUGAUAU